UGAAUACGAGAUGCUACGGCGUCGAAGCAGUGUAUGUCAGACCUCCAAGAAAAGCUCGCAAUGUCAUAAAUAAAGAAUGCCUGUACCAUAACCGACACAGGUGGGUAGGUAGAGUAUACUAAGGGGCGCGAGAUAACUCUCUCUAAGGAACUCGGCAAAAUAACUCCGUAACUUCGGGAGAAGGAGUGCCUUCUUUAAGAAGGUUGCAAUAACAAGAUCCAAGCAACUGUUUAUCAAAAACACAGGUCUCCGCUAAGUCGUAAGACGAUGUAUGGGGGCUGACGCCUGCCCAGUGCCAGAAGGUUAAAGAAGUUGGUUAGCUUUUGCGAAGCUGAUGACUGAAGCCCUGGUGAACGGCGGCCGUAACGAUAACGGUCCUAAGGUAGCGAAAUUCCUUGUCGGGUAAGUUCCGACCCGCACGAAAGGCGUAAUGAUUUGGAUACUUUCUCGGAGAGGGACUCGGUGAAAUAGACUUGUCUGUGAAGAUGCGGACUACCUGCACCAGGACAGAAAGACCCUAUGAAGCUUUACUGUAACUUGAAAUUGAAAUUGGACUUUAUUUGCGCAGUAUAGGUGGAAGGCGUUGAAAGUAAUCUUGCGGGAUUAGUGGAGCCAUCAGUGAGAUACCACUCCUAUAAUGUUAGAUUUCUAACUUUGGAUCAUGAUCUGGUCAAAGAACAGUUUCAGGCGGGCAGUUUGACUGGGGCGGUCGCCUCCCAAAUGGUAACGGAGGCGUACAAAGGUUUCCUCUGAACGGGUAGAAAUCGUAUCUAGAGUGUAAAGGCAUAAGGAAGCUUGACUGUGAGACCUACAAGUCGAGCAGGGACGAAAGUCGGUCUUAGUGAUCUGACGGUGCUGAGUGGAAAGGCCGUCACUCAACGGAUAAAAGUUACUCUAGGAUAACAGGCUGAUCUCCCCCAAGAGUUCACAUCGACGGGGAGGUUUGGCACCUCGAUGUCGGCUCAUCGCAUCCUGGGGCGGUAGUACGUCCCAAGGGUUGGGCUGUUCGCCCAUGAAAGCGGUACGCGAGCUGGGUUCAGAACGUCGUGAGACAGUUCGGUCCAUAUCCGGUGUAGGCGUUAGAAUAUUGAGAGGAGCCUUCUUUAGUACGAGAGGACCGAGAAGGACAUACCUCUGGUGUACCAGUUAUCGUGCCAACGGUAAACGCUGGGUAGCUAUGUAUGGAGAGGAUAACCGCUGAAAGCAUCUAAGUGGGAAGCCCACCUCAAGAUGAGUAUUCU
This 1241-nucleotide ribosomal RNA is filed under the name metagenome. RNAcentral describes it as "bacterial LSU rRNA". It matches the Rfam family "Bacterial large subunit ribosomal RNA", at positions 1564 to 2814 of the family's 2925-position model. The record is from RNAcentral.